GAUGAACGCUGGCGGCGUGCCUAAUACAUGCAAGUCGAGCGAACAGACGAGGAGCUUGCUCCUCUGACGUUAGCGGCGGACGGGUGAGUAACACGUGGAUAACCUACCUAUAAGACUGGGAUAACUUCGGGAAACCGGAGCUAAUACCGGAUAAUAUAUUGAACCGCAUGGUUCAAUAGUGAAAGACGGUUUUGCUGUCACUUAUAGAUGGAUCCGCGCCGCAUUAGCUAGUUGGUAAGGUAACGGCUUACCAAGGCGACGAUGCGUAGCCGACCUGAGAGGGUGAUCGGCCACACUGGAACUGAGGCACGGUCCAGACUCCUACGGGAGGCAGCAGUAGGGAAUCUUCCGCAAUGGGCGAAAGCAUGACGGAGCAACGCCGCGUGAGUGAUGAAGGUCUUCGGAUCGUAAAACUCUGUUAUUAGGGAAGAACAAAUGUGUAAGUAACUAUGCACGUCUUGACGGUACCUAAUCAGAAAGCCACGGCUAACUACGUG
RNAcentral lists this ribosomal RNA (497 nucleotides) under uncultured bacterium. RNAcentral describes it as "partial 16S ribosomal RNA". It matches the Rfam family "Bacterial small subunit ribosomal RNA", at positions 28 to 507 of the family's 1533-position model. The record is from RNAcentral.